RNAcentral lists this ribosomal RNA (390 nucleotides) under Bolidophyceae sp. RNAcentral's name for it is "partial small subunit ribosomal RNA". It matches the Rfam family "Eukaryotic small subunit ribosomal RNA", at positions 582 to 975 of the family's 1831-position model. The record is from RNAcentral. Lineage: Eukaryota; Bolidophyceae.
AUUCCAGCUCCAAUAGCGUAUAUUAAAGUUGUUGCAGUUAAAAAGCUCGUAGUUGGAUUUCUGGUGGGAGCGUUGGGCCGGCCCUAAGGGUCUGAGCUCAAAUGUUUUCCGCCAUCCUUGGAGGGAUGUUGUCUGGCAUUAAGUUGUCGGGCUUCCGAUCUCCAUCGUUUACUGUGAAAAAAUUAGAGUGUUCAAAGCAGGCUUAUGCCGUUGAAUACAUUAGCAUGGAAUAAUAAGAUAGGACCUUGGUACUAUUUUGUUGGUUUGCGUACCUAGGUAAUGAUUAAUAGGGACAGUUGGGGAUAUUACUAUUUCGUUGUCAGAGGUGAAAUUCUUGGAUUUACGAAAGAGUAACUACUGCGAAAGCAUUUAUCAAGGAUGUUUUCAUUA